Molecule: long non-coding RNA, 297 nt
Organism: Galleria mellonella (greater wax moth)
Lineage: Eukaryota; Metazoa; Arthropoda; Insecta; Lepidoptera; Pyralidae
Exons: 3
Source: RefSeq, a predicted model, not a curated record
UUUGCGCGUGAUCACGCACUAUUGCUGAGGAAUAAAUCAAGUAUUGAUGUGUUUGAUAUUUACACCUCCUUCGUGUCUUUAUAUUGACGACGGAUAUCCUGAUAUUCUUAAACCAAUCUUGAAUUCAACUUAUUAUAUUCCAGUAAGUCUUAAAUAAAUUAUAAGGAAUAUGUCAGAGAUCACAACUAGCAGCAGCUACAGCUCUAGCUGAGUAUUUGAUUUUCGGAAUAUUAUAUUGUAUAGAUGGCGCUGUUCACAGUUUACUACUUUAAAUGUGGUUAUAAAUGACAUUAGGAG